RNAcentral lists this ribosomal RNA (217 nucleotides) under Bacillus paramycoides. RNAcentral's name for it is "partial 16S ribosomal RNA". It matches the Rfam family "Bacterial small subunit ribosomal RNA", at positions 324 to 525 of the family's 1533-position model. The record is from RNAcentral. Lineage: Bacteria; Bacillati; Bacillota; Bacilli; Caryophanales; Bacillaceae.
AAGAUUCCCUUACUCCUACGGGAGGCAGCAGUAGGGAAUCUUCCGCAAUGGACGAAAGUCUAACGGAGCACGCCGGCGUGAGUGAUGANNGCUUUCCGGGUCUGUAAAACUCUGUUGUUAGGGAAGAACAAGUGCUAGCUUGAGAUAAAGCUGGCCACCCUGGAAAUACCUAACCAGAAAGCCACGCGCUAACUACGUGCCAGCAGCCGCGGUAAUA